Camelina sativa (false flax) is the source of this 532-nucleotide long non-coding RNA. RefSeq lists it as uncharacterized. NCBI's taxonomy places the organism in Eukaryota, Viridiplantae, Streptophyta, Magnoliopsida, Brassicales, Brassicaceae. The record is from RefSeq and is a predicted model, not a curated record.
AAAAUUUUAAAAAAUAAAAAAUCAAACUCACGAUCUCUUUUAGCUUUUUCCGAUGAAGCUUGUUCUAAUCUGAAAUUUUCAUUUAUGGUCAAAUUGGAUGAGAUUUUGUGGUCUCGGUUUAUAACUGCAGCGGAGGUGGUGGAGGGAAGAACAUAGAGCAUUCUAGAUCGAUCGAUCGUGAUGAUGAUGAAGACAAAGGUGACGAUUUUGAGCCACAGUUCAUCGAAUCAAGUGAAGGAUGGGAAAGGAUGGAGUGAGUACCGGAUCUGGAUUUGAAUCAAUGGAGAUGAGAUGCAAUAGAAAAUAUGAAGCGUUGUUGGAUUGUUUUAAUAACUUAGUGAGAGAAUACCACGUCGAGUAGAGAAAUAAGUAAUUGAGUUUAUAGGUCAUAAUUUCUCACAUUCUUUAAUUCAAGUAUGUUCCACUGAAACGGAAGCAAGUCUUAGUUCUAGGAACUAUGAAUAAAACCUAUGUAAACCUGAUUAUUCUUUCUUUCCUCUAAAAACUUUUUUUGUGUCUGUUUAAUUAGCUA